This 406-nucleotide ribosomal RNA is filed under the name uncultured bacterium. Its description in RNAcentral is "partial 16S ribosomal RNA". It matches the Rfam family "Bacterial small subunit ribosomal RNA", at positions 30 to 526 of the family's 1533-position model. The record is from RNAcentral.
AUUGAACGCUGGCGGCAGGCCUAACACAUGCAAGUCGAACGAGUGGCGGACGGGUGAGUAAUGUCUGGGAAACUGCCUGAUGGAGGGGGAUAACUACUGUAAACGGUAGCUAAUACCGCAUACCAUCAGAUGUGCCCAGAUGGGAUUAGCUUGUUGGUGGGGUAACGGCUCACCAAGGCGACGAUCCCUAGCUGGUCGGAGAGGAUGACCAGACAUACUGGCACAGUGACACGGGCCAGAUCCCUGCGGGAAGUAGCAGUGGGGAUUAUUGCACAAUGGGCGCAACCCUGAUGGAUCCAUGCCGCGUGUAAGAAGAAGGCCUUCGGGUUGUAAAGUAAGUUCAGCGGGGAGGCGUUACCCGCAGAAGAAGCACCGGCUAACUCCGUGCCAGCAGCCGCGGUAAUUC